CCCGACUCCGUGAAGCUGGAUUCGCUAGUAAUCGCGCAUCAGCCAUGGCGCGGUGAAUACGUUCCCGGGCCUUGUACACACCGCCCGUCAAGCCAUGGAAGCCGGGGGUGCCUGAAGUGCGCUGCCGCAAGGAGCGCCCUAGGGUAAAACCGGUGACUGGGGCUAAGUCGUAACAAGGUACC
This 182-nucleotide ribosomal RNA is filed under the name uncultured bacterium. Its description in RNAcentral is "partial 16S ribosomal RNA". It matches the Rfam family "Bacterial small subunit ribosomal RNA", at positions 1311 to 1500 of the family's 1533-position model. The record is from RNAcentral.